CAGCCGCCGCGGGAAUACGUAGGUGGCAAGCGUUGUCCGGAAUUAUUGGGCGUAAAGGGCUCGCAGGCGGUUUCUUAAGUCUGAUGUGAAAGCCCCCGGCUCAACCGGGGAGGGUCAUUGGAAACUGGGAAACUUGAGUGCAGAAGAGGAGAGUGGAAUUCCACGUGUAGCGGUGAAAUGCGUAGAGAUGUGGAGGAACACCAGUGGCGAAGGCGACUCUCUGGUCUGUAACUGACGCUGAGGAGCGAAAGCGUGGGGAGCGAACAGGAUUAGAUACCCGUGUAGUCCCUGUCUCUUAUAA
RNAcentral lists this ribosomal RNA (301 nucleotides) under uncultured bacterium. RNAcentral describes it as "partial 16S ribosomal RNA". It matches the Rfam family "Bacterial small subunit ribosomal RNA", at positions 509 to 809 of the family's 1533-position model. The record is from RNAcentral.